RNAcentral lists this ribosomal RNA (547 nucleotides) under uncultured bacterium. Its description in RNAcentral is "bacterial SSU rRNA". It matches the Rfam family "Bacterial small subunit ribosomal RNA", at positions 355 to 912 of the family's 1533-position model. The record is from RNAcentral.
UGGGGAAUCUUGGGCAAUGGGGGCAACCCUGAUCCAGCCAUGCCGCGUGAGUGAUGAAGGCCUUAGGGUCGUAAAGCUCUUUCGCCUGUGAAGAUAAUGACGGUAGCAGGUAAAGAAACCCCGGCUAACUCCGUGCCAGCAGCCGCGGUAAUACGGAGGGGGGUUAGCGUUGUUCGGAAUUACUGGGCGUAAAGCGCACGUAGGCGGACCAGAAAGUUGGGGGUGAAAUCCCGGGGGCUCAACCCCGGAACUGCCUCCAAAACUAUUGGUCUAGAGUUCGAGAGAGGUGAGUGGAAUUCCAAGUGUAGAGGUGAAAUUCGUAGAUAUUUGGAGGAACACCAGUGGCGAAGGCGGCUCACUGGCUCGAUACUGACGCUGAGGUGCGAAAAGUGUGGGGAGCAAAACAGGAUUAGAUACCCCUGGUAGUCCACACCGUAAAACGAUGAAUGCCAGUCGUCGGGGUAGCAUGCUAUUCGGUGACACACCUAACGGAUUAAGCAUUCCGGCCUGGGGAGUACGGUCGCAAGAUUAAAACUCAAAUGAAUUG